GGACUACUGGGGUAUCUAAUCCUGUUUGCUCCCCACGCUUUCGCGUCUCAGCGUCAGCAACGAUCCAGAGGGCCGCCUUCGCCGCCGGUGUUCCUCCUGAUAUCUACGCAUUUCACCGCUACACCAGGAAUUCCACCCUCCUCUAUCGCGCUCAAGUCGGCUAGUUUCCGAUGCACUUCCGGGGCUGAGCCCCGGGCUUUCACACCGGACUGGACCGACCGCCUACACGCCCUUUACGCCCAGUCAAUCCGAACAACGCUUGCACCCUCCGUCUUACCGCGGCUGCUGGCAC
Molecule: ribosomal RNA, 292 nt
Filed under: uncultured bacterium
Lineage: Bacteria
Description: partial 16S ribosomal RNA
Source: RNAcentral